Molecule: transfer RNA, 75 nt
Filed under: Chloroflexota bacterium
Lineage: Bacteria; Bacillati; Chloroflexota
Description: Chloroflexi bacterium tRNA-Arg
Rfam family: tRNA
About the family: Transfer RNA (tRNA) molecules are approximately 80 nucleotides in length.
Source: RNAcentral
GGCCUCGUAGCUCAGUGGAUAGAGCAGUGGACUUCGAAUCCAUGUGCGGGAGUUCGAUCCUCCCCGGGGCCGCCG